GAACGCUGGCGGUGUGCUUAACACAUGCAAGUCGAACGGGCAAGAGCUGUAGCAAUACAGAAUUCUGCUAGUGGCAGACGGGUGAGUAAUACAUGGGAAUCUACCUUGCAGUGCGAAAUAACAGUUGGAAGCAAUUGCUAAUGUCGCAUAUAGCCGAGAGGUGAAAGAUUUAUCGCUGCAAGACGAGCCCAUGCAGGAUUAGCUAGUUGGUGGGGUAAUGGCUCACCAAGGCGACGAUCUUUAGUUGGUCUGAGAGGGUGAUCGGCCACACUGGGACUGAGACACGGUC
This 289-nucleotide ribosomal RNA is filed under the name uncultured Rickettsiales bacterium. RNAcentral's name for it is "partial 16S ribosomal RNA". It matches the Rfam family "Bacterial small subunit ribosomal RNA", at positions 31 to 331 of the family's 1533-position model. The record is from RNAcentral. Lineage: Bacteria; Pseudomonadati; Pseudomonadota; Alphaproteobacteria; Rickettsiales.